CAAUAGCGUAUAUUAAAGUUGUUGCGGUUAAAAAGCUCGUAGUUGGAUUUCUGCUGAGGACGAUCGGUCCGCCCUCUGGGUGAGCAUCUGGCUCGGCCUUGGCAUCUUCUUGGAGAACGUUACUGCACUUGACUGUGUGGUGCGGUAUCCAGGACUUUUACUUUGAGGAAAUUAGAGUGUUUCAAGCAGGCGCACGCCUUGAAUACAUUAGCAUGGAAUAAUAAGAUAGGACCUUGGUUCUAUUUUGUUGGUUUCUAGAGCUGAGGUAAUGAUUAAUAGGGAUAGUUGGGGGCAUUCGUAUUUAACUGUCAGAGGUGAAAUUCUUGGAUUUGUCAAAGACGGACUACUGCGAAAGCAUUUGCCAAGGAUGUUUUCAUUGA
RNAcentral lists this ribosomal RNA (380 nucleotides) under uncultured eukaryote. RNAcentral describes it as "partial 18S ribosomal RNA". It matches the Rfam family "Eukaryotic small subunit ribosomal RNA", at positions 592 to 976 of the family's 1831-position model. The record is from RNAcentral.